This 253-nucleotide ribosomal RNA is filed under the name uncultured bacterium. Its description in RNAcentral is "partial 16S ribosomal RNA". It matches the Rfam family "Bacterial small subunit ribosomal RNA", at positions 524 to 776 of the family's 1533-position model. The record is from RNAcentral.
UACGUAGAGAGCAAGCGUUGUCCGGAAUCAUUGGGCGUAAAGGGUACGCAGGCGGUCUAUUAAGUCAGAGGUGAAAUCCAACAGCUCAACUGUUGAACUGCCUUUGAUACUGGUAGACUUGAGGAUAAGAGAAGAAAACGGAAUUCCUAGUGUAGCGGUGAAAUGCGUAGAUAUUAGGAAGAAUACCGAUGGCGAAAGCAGUUUUCUAACUUAUUCCUGACGCUCAGGUACGAAAGCUAGGGUAGCAAACGGG